AUGUUGGAGAUGCGGCGGACGGCUCAGUAAUACGUAGUCAAUCUACCCUUGGGACAGAGAUAACCCCUGGGAAACUGAGGCUAAUACCUGAUAUGUGAAAGCGCCUGGAAUGGUCUUUCGCAGAAAGGGCAUCAAAUACAUGCGUUUGAUGUUGCCCAAGGAUGGGACUGCGGCCGAUCAGGUAGUUGGUAAGGUAACGGCUUACCAAGCCUAUAACCGGUACGGGCCCUGAGAGGGGUAGCCCGGAGAUGGGAACUGAGAUAAGGUCCUAGGCCCUACGGGGCGCAGCAGUCGCGAAAACUUUGCAAUACACGAAAGUGUGACAGGGCUAUCCCGAGUGCCAUCCGCUGAGGAAGGCUUUUACCCAGUAUAUAAAGCUGGGAGAAUAAGGAGAGGGCAAGCCUGGUGUCAGCCGCCGCGGUAAUACCAGCUCUCCGAGUGGUGUGGAUGUUUAUUGGGCCUAAAGCAUCCGUAGCUGGCCAAGUUAGUCCCCUCGUUAAUCCACCGAA
This 509-nucleotide ribosomal RNA is filed under the name uncultured archaeon. Its description in RNAcentral is "bacterial SSU rRNA". It matches the Rfam family "Archaeal small subunit ribosomal RNA", at positions 67 to 558 of the family's 1478-position model. The record is from RNAcentral.